AAGGGAGUGAAUGUGCA
Molecule: small RNA, 17 nt
Filed under: Arabidopsis thaliana (thale cress)
Lineage: Eukaryota; Viridiplantae; Streptophyta; Magnoliopsida; Brassicales; Brassicaceae
Description: ATSL307350
Source: RNAcentral